CCUAAACCUCCCUUACUUUGACUAAUCUGAAGACACCCUAAAACCUCUAAGAACGCCCUAAGCUCCAUCAACGACCAACCAUCUCCAGCCGUCAAUUCACCACUGCAACAGUAACCAGCCGCUGCCGAAACAACCACCCACUAAAAGACCAAAUCCUUCGCCACUCUCAUCUCUCCCCUCAUUCUCAAACACACACGCAUACACAUGAAAAUAGAGAGACGACGAGAGAACGCCUAAGGAACACGGUGGUCUCCAAUGUUCUGAAUAAUUUUUCACUUGCGAUCUUCCUUAAACCCUAAAUCUUAAAUUCCUCCAAGCUAACUAGAAGGAAAUUCACGUUGAAGAGAAUGUUCCUGCACCUUCUCCUCGAUCCAACUGUUCGUUGAGUAUUAAUCCAUUGAAGGAGACUGACGACAUCGAUGCUAUACUGCUGAGCAUGCAUAAAGAGGAAGGGAACAGUAGCAUGUGAUUUUCCUAUUUGGCUUGUUUAUGUUUAAACCAAAUUUUGUCAAAAUUCAACUACUACCAAAUAAAUGUCCACAUUUCUCCUAGAUGGUUAUCAAUAUGUGAGUCUUGAGUUUUACUCCUACUUGUCAGAAUAGGUGUUAUUCCUAAUGUCCACAUUUUAAUCCAGCGUCCAUUUUCAUAUUUUCCUUCUCGCACGUCACACAAUUUUGAGUUGGGUUCAUUUGAUUCGAGUUUUUCGGUGAAUUUCGAGGUUGUCGAAGGUCGUAAGUUGAAGUUUCCGGACAGAUAUGCGGUCCCGUUGUAGAUUUGAAGUGCUAUUGUCGGAUUGAACAAUAUUGUUGCUUACAAGGAGAUUUUUCAUCAAUUCAAUUUUGAGUACCGUUUGGGUUCCACUUGAGGUCAACUCCUUACUUUGUUCUUUAAUCUCUCAUAUGUGUGAUUUAUGAUUGCUUGAGCUUCAUGCUUUAAUUGCUAAUUUGUGAUUGACUUUCCAUGUUUUGUUUCAAGUCUGUUUGAGCUGAAAUUUUUAAGUGUAAACAUUGCUGAAUUCUUGUAGCAUUUGAUAGAAGGGUUCAGGUUUAAACGUAAAUGACAAUUUAAAUUGGAAAUGUUUUCUUACUUUUAUUUGUCGCUUAUAGCUAGUGACAUGUUUAGGCCGACCACACUCGGGUAGGCAAGCCUUAGGUUAUUUUUAUUCGAGGUAAGAGGCCGCUCCCUUUAGUUUAUAUUCAGGAGAAUACCCCAUAGAUUUUAUAUAUAGUUUUAUCCGGGGUAUGCCCCGUAGUAAAUGUAAUUGGAGGCCAUGACAGAUAUUGUGGAGGAAGCAUAGUAUAGGUUAAUAUAGGAUUUUUAACAUUUUAUUUAAACUUCUUCUCUUUUCUUUUUGCAUUUAAGUGGGGACGACCUCGAACCUCCUUUCUAUUUGUUUUUCCCUUUUUGUGUGUUUUUCCCUUAAUUAGGAUAUUCUUCAAAGCCGACUAGAUCAAGUAUGCAACCAUACUAAUUACGGAACUUAAGGAGUGCUUAACACCUUCUCCCCGAGUCAAAUAAAUCCUCUUACCCGAAUCUCUGGUGCAGACUUAGUUUUGGAGUCCGAAGUGUUUGAAAAGAAAAAAUUGUUUUAAUAACGUUGACCUGUCACACCGAAACCAAUGUCAAGUGGCGACUCUGAAAAAUCCUUUUGAACGCACAUUUUUGUCAUUUUCUAAUUGAAAACCCUUUUUGAGCUUCAUAUCUCUUUUAUUAAUUUUAAGAGGGUUUAGUGAGGUAAAAAGGGGUGUGACAAUUAUUAUGGAUCGGGCUGCACGUAGCAGCAGGUCUUAUAGACUUUAUAUUAGCGCUUGGACAGGAUCCCCCCCUACGGAGUCUGACAUACUAGCAGUGAGCGUAGGCACAGUGAUUUAUAUAGACGGGUUUUGGUGAGGGGUAUUGAUGCCAGGCAUUCGUGUAUUGCUGAGUGAUUAUGUGUGAUGAGUGGGAGUUUGAGAUAGACUGAUUGAUCACUCUGAGAGUGUGAGUACCUCGUAAUAUCACUAUGAUACUGUACUCUGGACAUGCCUAUUUGAUAUAUAGGCAUAGAGAUGUACCAUUCUGUUACACCUUAUAUUUUCGUACGUGAAAGUACGCCAUAAGUAAAUUGAUAUAAGCUCGAAAAUGAGAUGUUACAUCUCGCAUUUUCGUACGUUAAAGUUUCGUCAUAAGUUAAUCGAUGUAAGCUCGGGAAUGAUAUUAUUUUGAGGUUAUAAGUAUUAUGCUAUUUCAAACAAGUGAUAAGUAAACUCGUGAAGGUGAGAGGGUAAGCAAAUAAAAGAAAAUGAGUUUCGUCAAAAUUUGAUAUUUUGGGAUAAAAUACGGUCUGAGCUAUAAUACCCGAUAUUUAUGGACUAGUGCCAUACAAGGUACCACAUGACUAUGAUAGUAAGAGGUAUAAAGUAUGCUAAAAGUGGGCAGUAUUUUAAAUAAUUUGAGAUAAUUUUAAUUAUGUGGAUAAUUGAGUAAUUAUUGAUUAAUGGGAUAUUAGCAAGUUAAUUAAGAAAUUGGUGGAUAAAUCUUUUGGCUAAGCCCUUAACCUUAACGUGUCAGCCCACCAAUCCAACAUUGUGACUCUUAUAUUAUAAUUGAAAGGUGGCACAAUUGAGUAGAUUAUGUGACAUUAUCAUCCUAGUGGGGCCCACACCUAAAGGGUUAAAGGUAACCCUUCUAAUUCACAAAAUCAUUUGCUCUCAUCUACUAAAUGAAGAAGGAAAGCUUCAGCAAAGCUAAUAGUUUACAAAUAGCAAUGUAGUUGCUCCAAACAUUCCAUACGAAGACCAUUUAAUACUAUAGCAACAUGGGAUUUACCAUUUUAAGGGAGUACGGUGCAAUCUUUCUCAAGAAUAUCAUACGGAUUUUUCCCUACUUCGAUAUGCCGUUACAUGUUGUCUCAAUUGACGUAUGUUAGAAGAUUUUCAAGAAAAUCGGUUCAGGUAUGUUAAGGCUAUCCCUUCUUUCUUUUUGGCAUGAUCCAUACGAUACAACCGAAACGAGCAAAUGUACAACUUUCAUAAACAACUUUAUUCAUAGAAUUACUAAGGAUGACUAUGUUCUUGAUUUCCCAUGUGAAUUAUCAUUAUAUCUUCUGUUCAUGGGUAUCAGAAAAAUACGUCCUUGAUAAAGUUAUCUGAAAGGUAUAUUAAUCUUAUAACAUUCCGAGAAAAUCUUAUUAAUGUAUUUCUUAUGCAUUUCAUUCAUUUAUACAUGUACAUUGACACAUGACCAGAUGGCUUUAUAUACGCGUAUAUUAUAUGUAUAUGGGAUAUGAGAAAAGGUUAUAGCAUUAUAUACGCACCAUCACCUGAUCAGCUGGUAUAUGUUGAUAAUUUUGCCCACAGUGGUCGAGAUGAUAUAAUGGAAUACUCUCAGAGGCUUGAUGAUGUUAUGAACACCUAUACCUAUGUAUGACACGACAUUUAUAUGCACGUGCAUGAUAUUAUAAAUGUUUUAGGAUUUACAAAGCUAUUUAGACUUAAAUGCGGAAUUCUUUAUUCCAUGUUUCAUCUAUGUCUUUUAUGUACUGAUUUUCAUUCCUUACGUACUAUGUACAUUAUUUGUACUGACGUCACUUUUGCCUGGGGACGCUGCGUUUCAUGCUCGCAUGUCCUGAUAGACAGGUCGAGAGUCCUCCAAGUAGGCUAUCAGCUCAGUGGAAGAUGUUGGUGUACUCCAUUUGCUCCGGAGUUGCUUGUUUGAUCAGUGUGAUUUGGACGUGUAUUGUUGGUAUGGCAGAGCCUUGUCCCGACUUUUAUGAUAAGUAUGUACUCUUAGAGGCUUGUAGACAGAUGUCAUGUAUACGGAUACUUGUAUGGCCUUGUUGGCCUAUAUUUUAAGUAUAUAAUGGAUCACAUUGGCUUUAUUGGCCUGUAUGUCACAGGUAUGAGUUUCUAUAUCAGGUUGGGUCGUUCUAUGUCGAGUAUUCCCUCAUGUUUACUCUAGUUAUCUCAUAACGCCCCUUCAGGCCCACUUACCUGUGAUGAUGUAAUAAGAUAGAUAUAUUAUAGUUGUACUCGGUUGAGUAAGGUACCGGGUGCCUGCCGCAGCCCAUCAAUUUGGGUCGUGACACAUUCCCCAUGCUAGCUAUACUUGACAUGUUCUUAUCAGUGUUGGUCUCUAAAUGUGAACUUGGAAGCAUGUCUAAAUUUCUAUACCAUGAACGAAUUGAAUAUGGAAAUUUCUCUGUGUUAUUACUGCCAUUUUCAUUACUAUAUCCGUGUUGUAAAAAUAUUGGUUCUAACUCUAUCCUUCUGAGCUCGUCACUAUUUUCAGCUCAAGGUUAGUUCUGUUACUUAUUGAGUACACUGGGUCGGUUUUACUCAUACUACACUCUGCAUUUUGUGUGCAGAUCCAAGUACAUCUGGAUGUGGUGAUUGCUAGAUUUGGUGCUAGUACUUGCUUGGAGACCUUGAGGUAGCUGCUAUGACGCCCGCAGACCUUGGCUCUCCUUAUUUUCAUGUUAUUUAGUACGGUUCUAUUAAUCAAACAGUUGUACUAGAGUUUCAGACUAUGUAGAUACCUAGUAGCUCAUGUACUCGUUGACACCAGAUAUUGGGGUGGUUGUAGCAAAGUUUCAGUUAUUUCUAUCAUAUAUUGAUGAGAUAUUUCC
RNAcentral lists this long non-coding RNA (4606 nucleotides) under Nicotiana tabacum (common tobacco). RNAcentral describes it as "long non-coding RNA (NTAB_LNC018000)". The record is from RNAcentral. Lineage: Eukaryota; Viridiplantae; Streptophyta; Magnoliopsida; Solanales; Solanaceae.